UACGUAGGGUCCGAGCGUUAAUCGGAAUUACUGGGCGUAAAGCGUGCGCAGGCGGUUUUGUAAGCCAGAUGUGAAAGCCCCGGGCUCAACCUGGGAACUGCAUUUGGGACUGCAAAGCUGGAGUACGGCAGAGGGAGGUGGAAUUCCACGUGUAGCAGUGAAAUGCGUAGAGAUGUGGAGGAACACCGAUGGCGAAGGCAGCCUCCUGGGCUAGUACUGACGCUCAUGCACGAAAGCGUGGGGAGCAAACAAG
Molecule: ribosomal RNA, 253 nt
Filed under: uncultured bacterium
Lineage: Bacteria
Description: partial 16S ribosomal RNA
Rfam family: Bacterial small subunit ribosomal RNA
Source: RNAcentral